Molecule: ribosomal RNA, 253 nt
Filed under: uncultured Lachnospiraceae bacterium
Lineage: Bacteria; Bacillati; Bacillota; Clostridia; Lachnospirales; Lachnospiraceae
Description: partial 16S ribosomal RNA
Rfam family: Bacterial small subunit ribosomal RNA
Source: RNAcentral
UACGUAGGGGGCAAGCGUUAUCCGGAUUUACUGGGUGUAAAGGGAGCGCAGGCGGUCUGGCAAGUCUGAUGUGAAAUACCGGGGCUCAACUCCGGGACUGCAUUGGAAACUGUCAGACUGGAGUGUCGGAGAGGCAGGCGGAAUUCCUGGUGUAGCGGUGAAAUGCGUAGAUAUCACGCAGAACUCCGAUUGCGAAGGCAGCAUACCGGCGCCCAACUGACGCUGAGGCACGAAAGCGUGGGUAUCGAACAGG